Molecule: unclassified non-coding RNA, 324 nt
Organism: Cricetulus griseus (Chinese hamster)
Lineage: Eukaryota; Metazoa; Chordata; Mammalia; Rodentia; Cricetidae
Gene: 7SK
Rfam family: 7SK RNA
About the family: 7SK was discovered as an abundant small nuclear RNA in the mid-70s but a possible function has only recently been suggested. Two independent studies have found that 7SK RNA binds the CDK9/cyclin T complex (known as elongation factor P-TEFb). P-TEFb activates transcription by phosphorylating the C-terminal domain of RNA polymerase II.
Source: Ensembl
GGAUGUGAGUGUGAUGUGGCUGUGAUGCCUGUUAGCACACUGAUUGUCACAGUUGAAUCCACAAUUUGACUGACUAUGUAGGUGCACCACCCGCCAUACCCAACAUCCUAUGUGUGUGUCCCUCGAGAAGUUUCCUGUUGGUUGAAGAGAACAACCCUCCCUGAUAGAGACCAUUCUUUGGUCAAGGGUAUACAAGUAGCCAUACUCCCUAGUAAGAGCCUCCAAACAAGCCCUCAAGGUCCAUGUGUAGGUCACAGGAAGGUAAGCUUCCAAGACUCCAGACACAGCCAUGUGAGGCACUUCAGGCAACACUCUACUGUUCUU